UGCUGGAAGACGGGUAAUGGGUGU
RNAcentral lists this microRNA (24 nucleotides) under Octopus vulgaris (common octopus). RNAcentral describes it as "Ovu-Mir-12559-P2_5p (mature (guide))". RNAcentral also lists the same sequence under 1 other name. The record is from RNAcentral. Lineage: Eukaryota; Metazoa; Mollusca; Cephalopoda; Octopoda; Octopodidae.